AGUGAACGCUGGCGGUAGGCCUAACACAUGCCAGUCGAACGGCAGCACAGUAAGAGCUUGCUCUUACGGGUGGCGAGUGGCGGACGGGUGAUGAAUCCAUCGGAAUCUACUUUUUCGUGGGGGAUAACGUAGGGAAACUUACGCUAAUACCGCAUACGACCUACGGGUGAAAUCAGGGGAUCUUCGGACCUUGCGCGAUUGAAUGAGCCGAGGUCGGAUUAGCUAGUUGGCGGGGUAAAGGCCCACCAAGGCGACGAUCCGUAGCUGGUCUGAGAGGAUGAUCAGCCACACUGGAAGUGAGACAAGGUGCAGAAGCCUACGGGAGGCAGCAGUGGGGAAUAUUGGAGAAUGGGCGCAAGCCUGAUCCAGCCAUACCGCGUGGGUGAAGAGGGCCUUCGGGUUGUAAAGCCCUUUUGUUGGGAAAGAAAAGCAGCAGGUUAAUACCCCGCUGUUCUGACGGUACCCAAAGAAUAAGCACCGGCUAACUUCGUG
Molecule: ribosomal RNA, 492 nt
Filed under: uncultured bacterium
Lineage: Bacteria
Description: partial 16S ribosomal RNA
Rfam family: Bacterial small subunit ribosomal RNA
Source: RNAcentral